RNAcentral lists this transfer RNA (72 nucleotides) under Bos taurus (domestic cattle). It matches the Rfam family "tRNA". Rfam says of the family: Transfer RNA (tRNA) molecules are approximately 80 nucleotides in length. Their secondary structure includes four short double-helical elements and three loops (D, anti-codon, and T loops). The record is from Rfam by way of RNAcentral. Lineage: Eukaryota; Metazoa; Chordata; Mammalia; Artiodactyla; Bovidae. RNAcentral also lists the same sequence under 5 other names.
UCCUUCAUAGCUCAGUCAGUAAAGAAUCUGCCUGCAAUGCAGGAGACUCAGGUUUGAUUCCUGAGUCAGGAA